UGGGGAAUCUUGCACAAUGGGGGCAACCCUGAUGCAGCGACGCCGCGUGAGCGAUGAAGCCCUUCGGGGCGUAAAGCUCUUUCGACCGGAACGAUAAUGACGGUACCGGGAGAAGAAGCUGCGGCUAACUACGUGCCAGCAGCCGCGGUAAUACGUAGGCAGCAAGCGUUGUUCGGAGUUACUGGGCGUAAAGGGUGUGUAGGCGGUUCUCUAAGUUUGGUGUGAAAUCUCCCGGCUUAACCGGGAGGGUGCGCCGAAAACUGGGGAGCUAGAGUGCGGGAAGGGAUAGUGGAAUUCCUGGUGUAGCGGUGAAAUGCGUAGAUAUCAGGAGGAACACCGGUGGUGUAGACGGCUCUCUGGACCGUAACUGACGCUGAGACACGAAAGCGUGGGUAGCAAACA
RNAcentral lists this ribosomal RNA (402 nucleotides) under uncultured bacterium. RNAcentral describes it as "bacterial SSU rRNA". It matches the Rfam family "Bacterial small subunit ribosomal RNA", at positions 355 to 774 of the family's 1533-position model. The record is from RNAcentral.